UUAAGCGACUAAGCGUACACGGUGGAUGCCCUGGCAGUCAGAGGCGAUGAAGGACGUGCUAAUCUGCGAAAAGCGUCGGUAAGGUGAUAUGAACCGUUAUAACCGGCGAUGUCCGAAUGGGGAAACCCAGUGUGAUUCGUCACACUAUCGUUAACUGAAUACAUAGGUUAACGAGGCGAACCGGGGGAACUGAAACAUCUAAGUACCCCGAGGAAAAGAAAUCAACCGAGAUUCCCCCAGUAGCGGCGAGCGAACGGGGAGCAGCCCAGAGUCUGAAUCAGCUUGUGUGUUAGUGGAACGGUCUGGAAAGUCCGACGGUACAGGGUGAUAGUCCCGUACACCAAAAUGCACAGGCUGUGAACUCGAAGAGUAGGGCGGGACACGUGGUAUCCUGUCUGAAUAUGGGGGGACCAUCCUCCAAGGCUAAAUACUCCUGACUGACCGAUAGUGAACCAGUACCGUGAGGGAAAGGCGAAAAGAACCCCGGCGAGGGGAGUGAAAAAGAACCUGAAACCGUGUACGUACAAGCAGUGGGAGCACCUUCGGGUGUGACUGCGUACCUUUUGUAUAAUGGGUCAGCGACUUAUAUUCUGUAGCAAGGUUAACCGUAUAGGGGAGCCGCAGGGAAACCGAGUCUUAACUGGGCGUUAAGUUGCAGGGUAUAGACCCGAAACCCGGUGAUCUAGCCAUGGGCAGGUUGAAGGUUGGGUAACACUAACUGGAGGACCGAACCGACUAAUGUUGAAAAAUUAGCGGAUGACUUGUGGCUGGGGGUGAAAGGCCAAUCAAACCGGGAGAUAGCUGGUUCUCCCCGAAAGCUAUUUAGGUAGCGCCUCGUGAACUCAUCUUCGGGGGUAGAGCACUGUUUCGGCUAGGGGGUCAUCCCGACUUACCAACCCGAUGCAAACUACGAAUACCGAAGAAUGUUAUCACGGGAGACACACGGCGGGUGCUAACGUCCGUCGUGAAGAGGGAAACAACCCAGACCGCCAGCUAAGGUCCCAAAGUCAUGGUUAAGUGGGAAACGAUGUGGGAAGGCACAGACAGCCAGGAUGUUGGCUUAGAAGCAGCCAUCAUUUAAAGAAAGCGUAAUAGCUCACUGGUCGAGUCGGCCUGCGCGGAAGAUGUAACGGGGCUAAACCAUGCACCGAAGCUGCGGCAGCGACACUAUGUGUUGUUGGGUAGGGGAGCGUUCUGUAAGCCUGCGAAGGUGACCUGUGAGGGUUGCUGGAGGUAUCAGAAGUGCGAAUGCUGACAUAAGUAACGAUAAAGCGGGUGAAAAGCCCGCUCGCCGGAAGACCAAGGGUUCCUGUCCAACGUUAAUCGGGGCAGGGUGAGUCGACCCCUAAGGCGAGGCCGAAAGGCGUAGUCGAUGGGAAACAGGUUAAUAUUCCUGUACUUGGUGUUACUGCGAAGGGGGGACGGAGAAGGCUAUGUUAGCCGGGCGACGGUUGUCCCGGUUUAAGCAUGUAGGCUGAUUGUCCAGGCAAAUCCGGAUAAUCAAGGCUGAGGUGUGAUGACGAGGCACUACGGUGCUGAAGUAACAAAUGCCCUGCUUCCAGGAAAAGCCUCUAAGCAUCAGGUAACAUCAAAUCGUACCCCAAACCGACACAGGUGGUCAGGUAGAGAAUACCAAGGCGCUUGAGAGAACUCGGGUGAAGGAACUAGGCAAAAUGGUGCCGUAACUUCGGGAGAAGGCACGCUGGUGUGUAGGUGAAGUCCCUGCGGAUGGAGCUGAGACCAGUCGAAGAUACCAGCUGGCUGCAACUGUUUAUUAAAAACACAGCACUGUGCAAACACGAAAGUGGACGUAUACGGUGUGACGCCUGCCCGGUGCCGGAAGGUUAAUUGAUGGGGUUAUCCGUAAGGAGAAGCUCUUGAUCGAAGCCCCGGUAAACGGCGGCCGUAACUAUAACGGUCCUAAGGUAGCGAAAUUCCUUGUCGGGUAAGUUCCGACCUGCACGAAUGGCGUAAUGAUGGCCAGGCUGUCUCCACCCGAGACUCAGUGAAAUUGAACUCGCUGUGAAGAUGCAGUGUACCCGCGGCAAGACGGAAAGACCCCGUGAACCUUUACUAUAGCUUGACACUGAACAUUGAGCCUUGAUGUGUAGGAUAGGUGGGAGGCUUUGAAGCGUGGACGCCAGUCUGCGUGGAGCCAACCUUGAAAUACCACCCUUUAAUGUUUGAUGUUCUAACGUUGGCCCCUGACCGGGGUUGCGGACAGUGUCUGGUGGGUAGUUUGACUGGGGCGGUCUCCUCCCAAAGCGUAACGGAGGAGCACGAAGGUUAGCUAAUCCUGGUCGGACAUCAGGAGGUUAGUGCAAUGGCAUAAGCUAGCUUGACUGCGAGCGUGACGGCGCGAGCAGGUGCGAAAGCAGGUCAUAGUGAUCCGGUGGUUCUGAAUGGAAGGGCCAUCGCUCAACGGAUAAAAGGUACUCCGGGGAUAACAGGCUGAUACCGCCCAAGAGUUCAUAUCGACGGCGGUGUUUGGCACCUCGAUGUCGGCUCAUCACAUCCUGGGGCUGAAGUAGGUCCCAAGGGUAUGGCUGUUCGCCAUUUAAAGUGGUACGCGAGCUGGGUUUAGAACGUCGUGAGACAGUUCGGUCCCUAUCUGCCGUGGGCGCUGGAGAAUUGAGGGGGGCUGCUCCUAGUACGAGAGGACCGGAGUGGACGCAUCACUGGUGUUCGGGUUGUCAUGCCAAUGGCACUGCCCGGUAGCUAAAUGCGGAAGAGAUAAGUGCUGAAAGCAUCUAAGCACGAAACUUGCCCCGAGAUGAGUUCUCCCUGAGACUUUAAGUCUCCUGAAGGAACGUUAAAGACGAUGACGUUGAUAGGCCGGGUGUGUAAGCGCAGCGAUGCGUUGAGCUAACCGGUACUAAUGAACCGUGAGGCUUAACCUU
This 2900-nucleotide ribosomal RNA is filed under the name Klebsiella pneumoniae. Its description in RNAcentral is "bacterial LSU rRNA". It matches the Rfam family "Bacterial large subunit ribosomal RNA". Lineage: Bacteria; Pseudomonadati; Pseudomonadota; Gammaproteobacteria; Enterobacterales; Enterobacteriaceae. The record is from RNAcentral.